ACACUGCUGAGGAGUCCCAUACUAGAACGAAACGACCGUCCAGUGC
This is a non-coding RNA of Schistosoma curassoni, 46 nucleotides long. Lineage: Eukaryota; Metazoa; Platyhelminthes; Trematoda; Strigeidida; Schistosomatidae. The record is from Rfam.